AGCGUAGACGGCGAAGCAAGUCUGAAGUGAAAUGCAUGGGCUCAACCCAUGAAUUGCUUUGGAAACUGUUUGGCUUGAGUGUCGGAGGGGUAAGCGGAAUUCCUAGUGUAGCGGUGAAAUGCGUAGAUAUUAGGAGGAACACCGGAGGCGAAGGCGGCUUACUGGACGACAACUGACGUUGAGGCUCGAAGGCGUGGGGAGCAAACA
This 207-nucleotide ribosomal RNA is filed under the name uncultured bacterium. Its description in RNAcentral is "partial 16S ribosomal RNA". It matches the Rfam family "Bacterial small subunit ribosomal RNA", at positions 568 to 774 of the family's 1533-position model. The record is from RNAcentral.